AUUCAGUUGUGUAUCGAAAUGUUUUGGUUCAGCUUUUUGUUAAUAUCUUUCUUAAUUACUAACGUAUAUCUUUUCAGCGAUUAUCGUGAGCGAUGUAAUAAUAACGACGAAUGUAUUGAUCAUCGAUUAAUUUAAACAACAGUGUGUGCGAUUGUGAUAAAUAUCAUAAAUGGAUCGAAAAUGAGUGCGUUCAAGUGGUAAAUACAAGUUUAAUUAUGAAAAAUGAGAUGGAUUUGUUGGAAAGGAAAGAUUUGGAAAUUUUUAUUGAAAAUUAUAAUGAAAAACUUUUUAAAAUACAAUCACUUGCUGGAAUAUUUGUAGCUGGUGUGUGUUUUUUAGCUGUGAUAUUAGUUAUGAUUUAUUGCUGUUAUGUUCGAAAUCAAGAUAACAAAUUAAAAAGGGAAGAAGAAAUUGUUUAAAGG
RNAcentral lists this long non-coding RNA (422 nucleotides) under Onthophagus taurus. RNAcentral describes it as "uncharacterized LOC111420109". The record is from RNAcentral. Lineage: Eukaryota; Metazoa; Arthropoda; Insecta; Coleoptera; Scarabaeidae.